RNAcentral lists this long non-coding RNA (380 nucleotides) under Equus asinus (donkey). RNAcentral's name for it is "lncRNA (ENSEASG00005023922.1)". Lineage: Eukaryota; Metazoa; Chordata; Mammalia; Perissodactyla; Equidae. The record is from RNAcentral.
GAGCCAACUGCCAGGCUCACGGAGCGCUCCAAACACGCUCCCUGGAGAAAAUAUCUCAUCAAGCGCCAGGGGACAUAGUUUGUCUUCCUGCCAACUUCCCCACUGAGACCACUUUCAACUUUAAGCUUGUGGUCAAGGACCGUCCACAGCAGAAGCUGGGGCACCCCGCCCGUGGAAGGCCCAGGUCAGCUUCCCCCACUGAGAUUCUCCAGCCGCCGUCGAGCUGUGGAGCACCCUUCAGUCAUGGACCCGCCAGGAGGUUGAGUUUUCAAGUACUUUGUUGAAUAGGAGUGUCCCUUUUUUCAUGCCACUGACUUGAAGAAGAAACUGGGAUCCUUACUCUAUGGAGAGUCUCACAGUUUUAGUUCAUCUAAUUAGGC